RNAcentral lists this ribosomal RNA (693 nucleotides) under uncultured Bacillota bacterium. Its description in RNAcentral is "bacterial SSU rRNA". It matches the Rfam family "Bacterial small subunit ribosomal RNA", at positions 202 to 916 of the family's 1533-position model. The record is from RNAcentral. Lineage: Bacteria; Bacillati; Bacillota.
AAAGGGAAAUCCGCCAUGAGAUGGUCCGCGUCCAUCAGCUAGUUGGUGGGGUAAAGGCCUACCAAGGCGACGACGGGUAGCCGGCUGAGAGGGUGACCGGCCACACUGGGACUGAGACACGGCCCAGACUCCUACGGGGGGCAGCAGUGGGGAAUAUUGCACAAUGGGCGAAAGCUGAUGCAGCGACGCCGCGUGGGCGAAGAAGGCCUUCGGGUUGUAAAGCCCUGUCUGGAGGGACGAAGUAAUGACGGUACCUCCGGAGGAAGCCACGGCUAACUACGUGCCAGCAGCCGCGGUAAUACGUAGGUGGCGAGCGUUGUCCGGAAUUACUGGGCGUAAAGGGCGUGCAGGCGGCCACUUAAGUCGGGCGUGAAAACCGCUGGCUCAACUGGCGGAUGUCGUUCGAAACUGAGUGGCUUGAGUGCGGGAGAGGAAAGCGGAAUUCCCGGUGUAGCGGUGAAAWGCGUARAUAUCGGGAGGAACACCAGUGGCGAAGGCGGCUUUCUGGACCGUAACUGACGCUGAGACGCGAAAGCUGGGGGAGCAAACAGGAUUAGAUACCCUGGUAGUCCCAGCCGUAAACGAUGAACACUAGGUGUAGGGGGUAUCGACCCCUCCUGUGCCGCAGCAAACGCAAUAAGUGUUCCGCCUGGGGAGUACGGCCGCAAGGUUAAAACUCAAAUGAAUUGACGG